RNAcentral lists this ribosomal RNA (677 nucleotides) under uncultured eukaryote. RNAcentral's name for it is "SSU rRNA". It matches the Rfam family "Eukaryotic small subunit ribosomal RNA", at positions 591 to 1288 of the family's 1831-position model. The record is from RNAcentral.
CUCAUAGCGUAUAUUUAAGUUGUUGCAGUUAAAAAGCUCGUAGUCGGAUUUUGGCUGAGAACGGUCGGUCCGCCGUUAGGUGUGCACUGACUGGUCUCAGCUUCCUGGUGAGGAGGUGUGCUUCAUCGCCACUUAGUCACCGUGGUUACUUUGAAAAAAUUAGAGUGUUCAAAGCGGGCUUACGCUUGAAUAUAUUAGCAUGGAAUAACACCAUAGGACUCCUGUCCUAUUUCGUUGGUCUCGGGACGGGAGUAAUGAUUAAGAGGAACAGUUGGGGGCAUUCGUAUUUCAUUGUCAGAGGUGAAAUUCUUGGAUUUAUGAAAGACGAACUUCUGCGAAAGCAUUUGCCAAGGAUGUUUUCAUUGAUCAAGAACGAAAGUUGGGGGCUCGAAGAUGAUUAGAUACCAUCCUAGUCUCAACCAUAAACGAUGCCGACUAGGGAUUGGCGGAUGUUAAUUGAUGACUUCGCCAGCACCUUAUGAGAAAUCAAAGUUUUUGGGUUCCGGGGGGAAUAUGGUCGCAAGGCUGGAACUUAAAGGAAUUGACGGAAGGGCACCACCAGGCGUGGAGCCUGCGGCUUAAUUUGACUCAACACGGGGAAACUUACCAGGUCCAGACAUAGUAAGGAUUGACAGAUUGAGAGCUCUUUCUUGAUUCUAUGGGUGGUGGUGCAUGGC